This 371-nucleotide ribosomal RNA is filed under the name uncultured Glomeromycotina. RNAcentral's name for it is "eukaryotic LSU rRNA". The record is from RNAcentral. Lineage: Eukaryota; Fungi; Glomeromycota.
UUGAAAGGGAAACGAUUGAAGUCAGUCGUACCGACGAGAAAUCAGCUUAUCGUGUGUUAACUUGUGGGCGUGCGUGAGUUUCGGCCUCGCUGUUUGCAUGUUUGUGCGCUUUGGGUGUACUUUUUCGUAUGGUUGGCCAACAUCAGUUUCGAUCACUAUAAAAUGACUGGCGGAAUGUAGCUUCGAUUUCGGUUGAAGUGUUAUAGCCUCUGGUAGAUGUGGUAAUUGGGACUGAGGAUUGCAACGAAUAUCCUUUGGGCUAUCCGUCUGGCCUCUGAAAGUUGCUUGGGUGCUGAAAGCUUGCUUAUGGUUAUCUAAGUUAACGGUCAAUAGGUUAGAACGUGAUUACAUUCGUUAAGGAUGUUGACGUA